This 1505-nucleotide ribosomal RNA is filed under the name human gut metagenome. Its description in RNAcentral is "bacterial LSU rRNA". It matches the Rfam family "Bacterial large subunit ribosomal RNA", at positions 465 to 1973 of the family's 2925-position model. The record is from RNAcentral.
GCUAAAUACUCGUGAUCGACCGAUAGUGAACCAGUACCGUGAGGGAAAGGCGAAAAGAACCCCGGGAGGGGAGUGAAAUAGAACCUGAAACCGCAUGCAUACAAACAGUAGGAGCCUCGUCAGAGGUGACUGCGUACCUUUUGCAUAAUGGGUCAGCGACUUACAUUCUGUGGCGAGCUUAACCGAAUAGGGGAGGCGCAGCGAAAGCGAGUUCGAAAUGAGCGUCCAGUCGCAGGGUGUAGACCCGAAACCAGAUGAGCUAUCCAUGGCCAGGUUGAAGGUGUGGUAACACACACUGGAGGACCGAACCGACUAGUGUUGCAAAAUUAGCGGAUGAGCUGUGGAUAGGGGUGAAAGGCCAAACAAAUCUGGAGAUAGCUGGUUCUCCCCGAAAACUAUUGAGGUAGUGCCUCGUGUGUCGCUCCAGGGGGUAGAGCACUGUUUUGGCUAGGGGGACAUGGAGUCUUACCAAACCAAGGCAAACUCCGAAUACCUGGAAGCGUGAGCACGGGAGACAGAGCACCGGGUGCUAACGUCCGGACUCAAAAGGGAAACAACCCAGACCGCCGGCUAAGGUCCCAAAUAACAGCUAAGUGGAAAACGAAGUGGAAAGGCCGUGACAACCAGGAAGUUGGCUUAGAAGCAGCCAUCCUUCAAAGAAAGCGUAAUAGCUCACUGGUCGAGUCCUUCUGCGCGGAAGAUGUAACGGGGCUAAGCUGUUAACCGAAGCCGCGGAUGCACUGGUUAUCCAGUGCGUGGUAGGGGAGCGUUCUGUAAGUCUGCGAAGGCGGUUCGAGAGGACUGCUGGAGAUAUCAGAAGUGCGAAUGCUGACAUGAGUAACGUUAAAGCAGGUGAAAAGCCUGCUCGCCGUAAGCCCAAGGAUUCCUGCUCUACGUUCAUCGGAGCAGGGUGAGUCGGCUCCUAAGGUCAGGCCGAAAGGCGUAGCCGAUGGGAAUCAGGUUAAUAUUCCUGAACCUGCGUCAGAUGCGAUGGGGGGACGGAGCAUGAAAGAUCAUCCGGGUGUUGGAUGUCCCGGUUGACGAGCGUAGGAGGUCUGCAGGCAAAUCCGCAGACGCAUCUCCAAGGCGAAGUCACGUGCCGCCACGGCGGCGAAGUGAUCGGAAGUGCUUCCAAGAAAAGCCUCUAAGCACCAGUCUGACGCGGACCGUACCGCAAACCGACACUGGUGGGCGAGCUGAAUAUGCUCAGGCGCUUGAGAGAACUCGGGAGAAGGAACUCGGCAAAUUGACACCGUAACUUCGGAAGAAGGUGUGCCGUAGUACCGUGAGAGGAGAGACACCUUGAGCGGGAAACGGUCUCAGAGAAUAGGUGGCUGCGACUGUUUAUUAAAAACACAGCACUCUGCAAAGUCGAAAGACGACGUAUAGGGUGUGAUGCCUGCCCGGUGCUGGAAGAUUAAUUGAUGGGGUGAGAGCCCUUGAUCGAAGUCCCAGUAAACGGCGGCCGUAACUAUAACGGUCCUAAGGUAGCGAAAUUCCUUGUC